AACGAACGCUGGCGGCAUGCCUAACACAUGCAAGUCGAACGAGACCUUCGGGUCUAGUGGCGCACGGGUGCGUAACGCGUGGGAACCUGCCCUUAGGUUCGGAAUAACUCCCCGAAAGGGGUGCUAAUACCGGAUAAUGUCUUCGGACCAAAGAUUUAUCGCCUUUGGAUGGGGCCGCGUUGGAUUAGCUAGUUGGUAGGGUAAAAGCCUACCAAGGCGACGAUCCAUAGCUGGUCUGAGAGGAUGAUCAGCCACACUGGGACUGAGACACGGCCCAGACUCCUACGGGAAGCAGCAGUGGGGAAUAUUGGACAAUGGGCGAAAGCCUGAUCCAGCAAGGCCGCGUGAGUGAUGAAGGCCUUAGGGUUGUAAAGCUCUUUUACCCGGGAUGAUAAUGACAGUACCGGGAGAAUAAGCACCGGCUAACUCCGUG
Molecule: ribosomal RNA, 433 nt
Filed under: uncultured bacterium
Lineage: Bacteria
Description: partial 16S ribosomal RNA
Rfam family: Bacterial small subunit ribosomal RNA
Source: RNAcentral